GAUGAACGCUGGCGGCGUGCCUAAUACAUGCAAGUCGAGCGAACAGACGAGGAGCUUGCUCCUCUGAUGUUAGCGGCGGACGGGUGAGUAACACGUGGAUAACCUACCUAUAAGACUGGGAUAACUUCGGGAAACCGGAGCUAAUACCGGAUAACAUGUUGAACCGCAUGGUUCAACAGUGAAAGACGGUCUUGCUGUCACUUAUAGAUGGAUCCGCGCCGCAUUAGCUAGUUGGUAAGGUAACGGCUUACCAAGGCAACGAUGCGUAGCCGACCUGAGAGGGUGAUCGGCCACACUGGAACUGAGACACGGUCCAGACUCCUACGGGAGGCAGCAGUAGGGAAUCUUCCGCAAUGGGUGAAAGCCUGACGGAGCAACGCCGCGUGAGUGAAGAAGGUCUUCGGAUCGUAAAACUCUGUUAUUAGGGAAGAACAAAUGUGUAAGUAACUAUGCACGUCUUGACGGUACCUAAUCAGAAAGCCACGGCUAACUACGUG
Molecule: ribosomal RNA, 497 nt
Filed under: uncultured bacterium
Lineage: Bacteria
Description: partial 16S ribosomal RNA
Rfam family: Bacterial small subunit ribosomal RNA
Source: RNAcentral